Molecule: ribosomal RNA, 2865 nt
Filed under: Escherichia coli
Lineage: Bacteria; Pseudomonadati; Pseudomonadota; Gammaproteobacteria; Enterobacterales; Enterobacteriaceae
Description: bacterial LSU rRNA
Rfam family: Bacterial large subunit ribosomal RNA
Source: RNAcentral
UCAGAGGCGAUGAAGGACGUGCUAAUCUGCGAUAAGCGUCGGUGAGGUGAUAUGAACCGUUAUAACCGGCGAUUUCCGAAUGGGGAAACCCAGUGUGAUUCGACACACUAUCAUUAACUGAAUCCAUAGGUUAAUGAGGCGAACCGGGGGAACUGAAACAUCUAAGUACCCCGAGGAAAAGAAAUCAACCGAGAUUCCCCCAGUAGCGGCGAGCGAACGGGGAGGAGCCCAGAGCCUGAAUCAGUGUGUGUGUUAGUGGAAGCGUCUGGAAAGGCGCGCGAUACAGGGUGACAGCCCCGUACACAAAAAUGCACAUACUGUGAGCUCGAUGAGUAGGGCGGGACACGUGGUAUCCUGUCUGAAUAUGGGGGGACCAUCCUCCAAGGCUAAAUACUCCUGACUGACCGAUAGUGAACCAGUACCGUGAGGGAAAGGCGAAAAGAACCCCGGCGAGGGGAGUGAAAAAGAACCUGAAACCGUGUACGUACAAGCAGUGGGAGCCUCUUAAUGGGGUGACUGCGUACCUUUUGUAUAAUGGGUCAGCGACUUAUAUUCUGUAGCAAGGUUAACCGAAUAGGGGAGCCGAAGGGAAACCGAGUCUUAACUGGGCGUUAAGUUGCAGGGUAUAGACCCGAAACCCGGUGAUCUAGCCAUGGGCAGGUUGAAGGUUGGGUAACACUAACUGGAGGACCGAACCGACUAAUGUUGAAAAAUUAGCGGAUGACUUGUGGCUGGGGGUGAAAGGCCAAUCAAACCGGGAGAUAGCUGGUUCUCCCCGAAAGCUAUUUAGGUAGCGCCUCGUGAAUUCAUCUCCGGGGGUAGAGCACUGUUUCGGCAAGGGGGUCAUCCCGACUUACCAACCCGAUGCAAACUGCGAAUACCGGAGAAUGUUAUCACGGGAGACACACGGCGGGUGCUAACGUCCGUCGUGAAGAGGGAAACAACCCAGACCGCCAGCUAAGGUCCCAAAGUCAUGGUUAAGUGGGAAACGAUGUGGGAAGGCCCAGACAGCCAGGAUGUUGGCUUAGAAGCAGCCAUCAUUUAAAGAAAGCGUAAUAGCUCACUGGUCGAGUCGGCCUGCGCGGAAGAUGUAACGGGGCUAAACCAUGCACCGAAGCUGCGGCAGCGACACUAUGUGUUGUUGGGUAGGGGAGCGUUCUGUAAGCCUGUGAAGGUGUACUGUGAGGUAUGCUGGAGGUAUCAGAAGUGCGAAUGCUGACAUAAGUAACGAUAAAGCGGGUGAAAAGCCCGCUCGCCGGAAGACCAAGGGUUCCUGUCCAACGUUAAUCGGGGCAGGGUGAGUCGACCCCUAAGGCGAGGCCGAAAGGCGUAGUCGAUGGGAAACAGGUUAAUAUUCCUGUACUUGGUGUUACUGCGAAGGGGGGACGGAGAAGGCUAUGUUGGCCGGGCGACGGUUGUCCCGGUUUAAGCGUGUAGGCUGGUUUUCCAGGCAAAUCCGGAAAACCAAGGCUGAGGCGUGAUGACGAGGCACUACGGUGCUGAAGCGACAAAUGCCCUGCUUCCAGGAAAAGCCUCUAAGCAUCAGGUAACAUCAAAUCGUACCCCAAACCGACACAGGUGGUCAGGUAGAGAAUACCAAGGCGCUUGAGAGAACUCGGGUGAAGGAACUAGGCAAAAUGGUGCCGUAACUUCGGGAGAAGGCACGCUGAUAUGUAGGUGAAGCGACUUGCUCGUGGAGCUGAAAUCAGUCGAAGAUACCAGCUGGCUGCAACUGUUUAUUAAAAACACAGCACUGUGCAAACACGAAAGUGGACGUAUACGGUGUGACGCCUGCCCGGUGCCGGAAGGUUAAUUGAUGGGGUUAGCGGCAACGCGAAGCUCUUGAUCGAAGCCCCGGUAAACGGCGGCCGUAACUAUAACGGUCCUAAGGUAGCGAAAUUCCUUGUCGGGUAAGUUCCGACCUGCACGAAUGGCGUAAUGAUGGCCAGGCUGUCUCCACCCGAGACUCAGUGAAAUUGAACUCGCUGUGAAGAUGCAGUGUACCCGCGGCAAGACGGAAAGACCCCGUGAACCUUUACUAUAGCUUGACACUGAACAUUGAGCCUUGAUGUGUAGGAUAGGUGGGAGGCUUUGAAGUGUGGACGCCAGUCUGCAUGGAGCCGACCUUGAAAUACCACCCUUUAAUGUUUGAUGUUCUAACGUGGGCCCGUAAUCCGGGUUGCGGACAGUGUCUGGAGGGUAGUUUGACUGGGGCGGUCUCCUCCUAAAGAGUAACGGAGGAGCACGAAGGUUGGCUAAUCCUGGUCGGACAUCAGGAGGUUAGUGCAAUGGCAUAAGCCAGCUUGACUGCGAGCGUGACGGCGCGAGCAGGUGCGAAAGCAGGUCAUAGUGAUCCGGUGGUUCUGAAUGGAAGGGCCAUCGCUCAACGGAUAAAAGGUACUCCGGGGAUAACAGGCUGAUACCGCCCAAGAGUUCAUAUCGACGGCGGUGUUUGGCACCUCGAUGUCGGCUCAUCACAUCCUGGGGCUGAAGUAGGUCCCAAGGGUAUGGCUGUUCGCCAUUUAAAGUGGUACGCGAGCUGGGUUUAGAACGUCGUGAGACAGUUCGGUCCCUAUCUGCCGUGGGCGCUGGAGAACUGAGGGGGGCUGCUCCUAGUACGAGAGGACCGGAGUGGACGCAUCACUGGUGUUCGGGUUGUCAUGCCAAUGGCACUGCCCGGUAGCUAAAUGCGGAAGAGAUAAGUGCUGAAAGCAUCUAAGCACGAAACUUGCCCCGAGAUGAGUUCUCCCUGAGCCUUUAAGGGUCCUGAAGGAACGUUGAAGACGACGACGUUGAUAGGCCGGGUGUGUAAGCGCAGCGAUGCGUUGAGCUAACCGGUACUAAUGAACCGUGAGGCUUAACCUU